Molecule: unclassified non-coding RNA, 297 nt
Filed under: Dictyochaeta callimorpha
Lineage: Eukaryota; Fungi; Ascomycota; Sordariomycetes; Chaetosphaeriales; Chaetosphaeriaceae
Description: sequence contains ITS1
Rfam family: 5.8S ribosomal RNA (bases 1-105)
Source: RNAcentral
GAAAUGCGAUAAGUAAUGUGAAUUGCAGAAUUCAGUGAAUCAUCGAAUCUUUGAACGCACAUUGCGCCCGCCAGCAUUCUGGCGGGCAUGCCUGUUCGAGCGUCAUUUCAACCCUCAGGCCCGGCCUGGUGUUGGGGACCUGCCACGCGCAGCCCCCGAAAGAGAGCGGCGGUCCCGUUCCCGGCUCCGAGCGUAGUAACAUACUGAGCUCUGGGCGCCGGGCGGGCAACCUGCCGGAAAACACCCCUUUUUCUCAAGGUUGACCUCGGAUCAGGUAGGAAUACCCGCUGAACUUAA